Molecule: long non-coding RNA, 6319 nt
Organism: Mus musculus (house mouse)
Lineage: Eukaryota; Metazoa; Chordata; Mammalia; Rodentia; Muridae
Product: predicted gene, 35688
Exons: 3
Source: RefSeq, a predicted model, not a curated record
GAUUCAUGUUUGAGAGAAUACAUAUGAUACUUAUCUGGAUUGUUUUGCUCAAUACAGUGAACAAGCAAACAAAUGGACAGAUAGGCAAAUGAAUGAAAGUGUCUCAGGAGAAGCACAAAUGGCCAGUGAACGUAUGAAAAAUUGGUAGCACCCUUAACCACCAGGCAAACACAAGUCAAAACUAUACUGACACACCUUAGUAGGAAUGGCUAUCCUAAAAUAUCAAAGGACGUGCUAGUUCAGAAUAUUUGUAAGUAAUAUGUAUGGACAACUGAUGGCUUCUGGAAGAGAGAGUGUCUUAAUUGUCUUUCAAUUGCUAUGGUAAGACACCACGAUCAAGGCAACCUGCAGAAGUACAGUCUGCUAGGGGCUUACAGUUUUAGUGGCGAGUCUACACCGUUAUGGCAGCAGCAUGUAGGCAUGAUGCUGGAGCAGCAGCUGAGAAUUUAUAUCCUAAUCUACAGGCACAAGGAAUGAUAUGGGAUUUUGAAAUCUCAAAGCCAGCCCUCAGUGACACACCACCUCCAUCAAGGCCACAACUCCUAAUCUUUCCCAAACAGUUUCACUAACUGCUAACCAAACUUUCAAAUACAUGUACCAGCAGGGCCUAUGCUGGUAUGUCCACCAGGCUCGAUGGACCCACACCCAGGAGUAUUUUGGACAAUACACAAUAGAAUGCCUUUUUUUUUUUUUUUUUUUUUUUUAAAGACACAAAGUUGAGAGCUAGGGUGAUAAGGUGGAUCUGGGAGGAGUUAAGGAGAGACGUUGGGCUAAAUAUGAUCAAAAUUUAUUGUAUAAAUUCUUAAAGUAAUAAUAAAAAUAUCUUUAAAAAUUAAAAAAUUAGAAAUGUUUCUCUUUUAUUUUUUUGGUAAUUAAUUUACUUUAUACCCUGAUUACAGCCCUCCCUCUUCUCCCAGUUCAUCCUCUCUAUAUGACUUCCUCCUCUAAUCCCCUCUUACCUGUGAGAAGAGGAAGGCCCUUCCCAGGGAACCAGCCCACCUUGGCACCUCAAGUCACUGCAGGACUGGACACAUCCUCUCUCACUGAGGCCAGACAAGACAGCUCAGUUAGGGGAGCAGGAUCCACAGGCAGGCAACAGAGUCAGGGUAAACCUUCACAUAAAGACCAAGCUGCACAUCUGCUAGAUGUGUGUGGACCUAGGUCCAGCCCAUGUUUGCUCUUUGGUUGGUGGCUCAGUCUCUUGGAGCACCCAAAUGUCGAGGUUGGUUAACUUUUGUUGGUCUUCUUGUGGACUCCUAUCCCUUCUGAGUUCUUCAAUCCUUUUCCCCAACUCUCCCAUAAGAGUCCCCCAGCUCUGUCUAAUGUUUGACUGUGGGUCUUUGCAUCUGUUUCAGUCAGCUGCUGGGUGGAGUCUGUCAAAGGGCGGUUAUACUAGGGUCCUGUUUAUGAAUCAAGGCUGACAGAAACAAACAUAGCCUGAGGCUCCAAGGUAGUUGAAGGAGGAUGGCAGGACUACAAUGCCCCAUUAGAUCCUCUGAGGACAGCUAGGCACAUUCCCCUGAAAUGUUGCUACUGCAUACAUUUAUGUCUGUCUCACACAGGGUACCUGUGCAUCAGCACUGAUAAAUAUAGCUGUCAACAGUGUCUUCACAUGUUGCAUCAUUGUGGCAAGGCUUUGACCAACAAAGAGGUAUCAAAGAUCUCCCAGUAUGUCCUUGUAGUUUUCCAGAGUGAGAAGGAGCUGUAAACCCAAGUUCUGAAAAUAAUGCUUAGAGGUCUGGGACACGUGGAUGCCAUUCAUGUCUGCCUCUGCCCCCUGCACCUCUGGGCACCUACCUCUGUAUUGCAUGUAUGUUCUACAUACUAUUUGGCCCUUUAACUUGUACUAAGAAACCACUGGAGACAGCAAUACCUCAAGAUUUCAUCAGACAGAGCCUUCUCUACACUCCCUACCUCUCUCCUAUCCCUCUUCAUUUCCAGGCUGACUCACGAGCCAACACAAAACAGUCUCAGGCUGUUGCAGUGGUAUCAUGACAGAAGUGUGUGCACUGUCUAGCUUCCUUCUAGAGUGUGCAUGGCUUCUUCCUUGACCUUUACCAUCGCUUUCCUGGCACUUCAGUUGUGUAGGAAGUUUUAGUGCCCCAUGGACCAUGUGUCUCACUCACUUGCCUUUCAUCCCUUCAAAUGUGUCCUUCAAAAUAUCAGAGGAUAGAGUAAAGUUGGACUUAAAAAAAAUCUCCCCUUCCUGUAGGAAGCAAUGCACAUGAGUUUUCUCUUUGACACAGACAUGUACUUUGUUUCUGACACUUUAAAAAGGGUCUGCAAGAUCAAAGAUCUUCAUGCAACACCUGUUCCAACUCUUCUCAAUGGCCACUGACCCAUUCUUUGAGAUUUUUAUUUUGUGCAGGUGUUCCCCUCUCAGUGAGAUUAUGGCAUUAAACCAAACAAAACCCCAAGUCUGUGUGUUCAUGUGGCUCUCCAUGUAUGUGCACACACAGUUAUAUAGCUUUUCACAACACAUUCUCAGAGAUGGUGGAGUUAAAUCCCCCAGCUGCCACUGUGCUGACUUAUAAAUGUCCUUUUGAUAGUCUUUUAUUAACAGCAAAUUGAAUGACUCUAAGGGAUUAGUGCAGAAAAGGAAACAAACAUAUUAAGAAAUGCUUUUGUCACAGGUGAAACACCUGGCAUUAGCCACUGUGCCUGCUUGAAUGAAUUUUCAGAGUUGAAAGUAUUUUAACUGAUAUAUAAAAACAAAAAUUAUACAUAUUAAUGAACACACAUUGUUUCAUUAUAUGUUUACAUCAUUUAAUGCUUAAACCAUAUUAAACAAAUCUCCUCAAACAUUGAUCAUUUCUUCAUGCUGAAAAUAUUUAAAAAUCCCUUUUUAAAGUUCUUGGAAACACCCAGAGCAUUGACUGCUGCAGUGCUGCUGGAUAAUAACCUGGCAGGACAUCUUGCUGUUGUGUAAUUGUAACCCACUACUUCUUGCCACCCUUUCCUCACAGACGUCCUCUGAUCUCCACCAUUUACUUCUCUGCUUCUGUGACACCACCUUCUGUAGAAAUGUGCUUGGCUUGUUCCCUUAGCUCAAGGCUCUCUAGUUUGUGAAUGAUAGGACUCUAUUUUCUUUUUAUGGCCAACUAGUGUUCUAUGACACACAUGUACCAUGAUGUCUGUGUCCAUUUAGCAGCUGAUUAACAUGGUUCCUAUUUAUUUGUUGUUCUAAGAUACAAGUCUCUUUGAUAUGCCAUGUUUCUUUUGAUAUAACUUAGUAUAUAUUCUGGAUCAUGUGAUACUUUUUUCUCUUCUUUUUUUCCUUAAUCACUUUGUAAAUCUGGACUAUAAUGAGAUACCACUUCACCCCCUUGAGAACGACAUUGUCAGAAUGAAAGGAGGCAAGCCCUGGUGAGGCUGUGGAGAUUGGGAACUCUGCACACCGAGGGAGGAAAUUAUGUUCACGGUGUUGUUAAGUUUGAGGAUGGCAACUUCUUCUCACUAAAGCAGGUGCUGAAUUUUCUUGCAACCUGUGUGUGGUGUUCACCUGUCUACACAGUACCAGUGGGACGACAGAACCAGGGCUUCAGAAGGGGCCCAGGAAAUGGCACUGAGAGUAAGAACAAAGAGCUGUUCGGAGCAAGCAGCACACUUUGUUCACGUGUCCCAGAUAAGGACUUCUGAUUUUACAGGCCUGACAGAUAAUCAAGGCCUUAUUAUACUGGGUGUCAGGCAGAGGGUAAUAUUUUCAGAGGGCAACUACUUAAAAAACAAUUUCUGUCACACCGGCUGCCCACACGUCAGGCCGCCUGCCUCGGAGCCACUCUGCUGAUUUGGAAAUAAAUUAUGCUGAUUGCUCCCGAUAUGAGGGGAUCCAUCAUCAUCUGCCUUUGAAUUCAUCUGGCCACCCUAUAAUCCAGCGUCUUCCUCUGCGGUGUUAAUGAGACCUCACAGCCCUCCCCUGGAGGCCCUGUGCUGGGCUGCCAUGAGGGGGGGCUGGGCCCCUGCACUCCUGGGGCUCAACCCUCAACCUCCAGUGUGUCCUCCACUUUGCAUGUGAUUACUCUGAGCUUAGCCCCAGUUCUGAAGUUCCAAGGAACGCUGCCUGCUGGCUCCUGGAUGGCUUUCUCUUUACCAGAUUUAUUGUUCCAAAAACUUUCCUGCCCUGAAUGAUUUGAGCUGGAGAACUGAAUCGAAGCCCCUCCUUACGGACCUGGCCUGUCUCUUCCUUUAAGCCCAGUGGUUAUGUUCUCUGUGUUGGUAUAAGGAGUGUUUCAUCCUAUUGGAUUUGAGGACCUUGAAGUUAGCUAGAAUGUUAGGUUUCAACUGCUGAAUGCUUAUUUUGUUUUAAGACAAGGGCAAGAUAAAAUGAUAGACACACAUGUGUUAGAAGAGAGGCCCCAGUGACAGUCUUGUCUGUUAGCGAUUCUCAUUGUAGCUGUGUGCACACGGGCAGCCUGCAGGGAGGGUUGCUGGCCUUCAUCACAUUCUCAAGUGGUCUGUGACCACUGAAUAACACAUGGGUGAGCUAACUAAAUGGGUAAAUAAAAAUAAAUCACCGAGUACCACAGGGGCACGCAUGGCUGCUGCACUGUCAGUGCACAGCACCGUCAAGGUUGUGUGAAUUCGGAUGUGAUCUGACAAAUGUUCCAAUUUUCCUGGUGACCAGAGGCAGUUAGAGAUCAGAACCUAGGUCCACUCUAACCCAGGGUGUUCUUCCCAGAAAGCCCCUCUGAGGCUUCCCAGCGAGACCGCAUUCCCCUCUGUGCUUCAUGCUGGCUUAUGUUGAGAGUUGCCCUCAUACUCUCCCACAUUGGACCCCUCUCUAACCAAGGAUAGUGCAAUGACUGUGGGUGCCCCACUUUCUCCUCCUUUUGUGUGCUUGGCAGUAUCAACUCUAAGAAGAUCCAGUCACUAGGUUGCAGCCAUGUUGGACCUGCCUCUAGUCUUCUGGUUCUGUUUUGGCAAGCUCUAGAUAAGAGUGGCAGGGUCUGUGAGACAUGGGCCCUGAGCACAGUGGCUGAGAGUGACACUCCUACUUUGAGAACCCCUGAGACCACUUCUUAGAGAGAUGAAUAGCAGCACCCAGGGUACAGGGUCUGCAAGUCCUUGGAUUUCAAGGCAGGACAUGGUAUACCAAAGAGUAGCAUCAUGAUAGGGGCAAGGACUGCCAUGAGGUGAGACUUCAGCAUUCACAGGGGACUUAUGCUUGACCUUGGCAGAGAGGUACACUCACUGGAGCCUAACUACAUGGCUUCAUUUUUGCCUUCCUCCUCACAGAGGCUCUGCAUAGAUAACUGGACUGGGGUUUCCUGUUUCCCUGGGGCUUACUGAGUGUUAGGUGCUAUGUGUUUUUUGUAGCACUCAGCUCAGCUAAGGCCACUCCUUCAGUCAGAAAGUUUAUGCCAUGUCUGCCCUCCUGUCCCAGUGCUCCCUGUAUGCAUGUUUCUCUGUGUGCCUCGUCCCGUCUCUUUGUUUGCCUCUGUGUCUGUGUUUCUUUUCUCCCCAACCCCCCUCUCUCUGUAUGUAUGUGCACAUGUAUGUAUGAAUACAUGUGUACUUAUAUGUGUUAAUAUGGAGGUUAGAGGUUAACAUUGGAUAUUUUCUUCAGUCUCUCUAAAUGUUAUUUUUUUUUGAGACUGAGUUUCUCAUUGAACCCAGAGCGCAUCAAUCUAGGUAUACUGGCUGACCAAUGAGCUCAGUGAUUGUUUUGUCUGUUUCCCCAGCUUUCAUAGAGGUGCUAGGGUUUGAAUAAAUGUUCUCCUGAUUAUUCAGCAAGCCUUUUCCUAAGCCCUUCUUCACAGCCUCCACCCCUGGCUCUUACUGGCUGUAGUGGGUAUUUCCCAAGAAUGGAGAAUUUUCUCCCCAGGCACAUUUUUGAACUUGAGAGACAGCAGCCUCUUUUUCAUGCAGUGGGUGAGAAAGAGCAGCCUGUGCUCUGUGGACACAGAGGAAGGGAAGCAAGGGUGUUGACUUUCUGAUCCUUCUCCUUCCAUAGGACCAUGGGUAUUAGGGCCUUGGUACUCUAUUGACAGUAUUCUUUGUUUCAUAGAGUGGCUUCAAAGUGAAACUCUUCCCGUAAAGUCUGCAGUAGCUUCCUGAUGGAAUGGAAGGCAAUAGCAUGGACUUGGUUACUAAUGUACAUGGUGGGGUAACUGGCUGGCUAGCUGCACAUGCGCAUUAGCACUUGAGUUCUAUUGCAUAUGUUCUCCAGCGUUUUCUGCAAUGAGAUUCUGAUAUCCCUAAGCAGUGAAUACCCCAGGUCCACAUCUUGGUCUCUAAGAUCAUUCUCCAAUAAAAGGAAAGGGGACCUUGGAGAAAUGAAAUUCAAGAGCUGAGCAAAGCAAGGGCUGGAGAGUUGACA